RNAcentral lists this small nucleolar RNA (129 nucleotides) under Microcebus murinus (gray mouse lemur). The record is from RNAcentral. Lineage: Eukaryota; Metazoa; Chordata; Mammalia; Primates; Cheirogaleidae.
UUCAAAAGUGUUGACUUCAGUUCAGGGAAGCUUCCCUGUUCUGAUAAUUAAACUUGACAUUGACAUGGGCUAGGGGAGAUGACUGGAUAGAAUGCUUUAUCUAUUCAUUUAUCUCUUAGUCCUACAAAA